Molecule: ribosomal RNA, 253 nt
Filed under: uncultured bacterium
Lineage: Bacteria
Description: partial 16S ribosomal RNA
Rfam family: Bacterial small subunit ribosomal RNA
Source: RNAcentral
UACAGAGGAGCCAAGCGUUGUCCGGAUUGACUGGGCGUAAAGCGCACGCAGGCGGUCUGGCGCGUGGGGUGUGAAAUCUGGCCGCUUAACGGCCAGGCGCCAUCCCAUACGGCACGACUGGAGGGCUGCAGAGGUCGAUGGAAUUGCCGGUGUAGUGGUGAAAUGCGUAGAGAUCGGCAGGAACACCCAGGGGGAAACCAGUCGACUGGGCAGCACCUGACGCUGAGGUGCGAGAGCGUGGGGAGCGAACCGG